CCUACGGGAGGCAGCAGUGAGGAAUAUUGGUCAAUGGGAGAGAUCCUGAACCAGCCAAGCCGCGUGAGGGAAGACGGCCCUAUGGGUUGUAAACCUCUUUUGUCGGAGAACAAAACCCGGGACGUGUCCCGGACUGCGUGUAUCCGAAGAAAAAGCAUCGGCUAACUCCGUGCCAGCAGCCGCGGUAAUACGGAGGAUGCGAGCGUUAUCCGGAUUUAUUGGGUUUAAAGGGUGCGUAGGCGGUCCGUUAAGUCAGCGGUAAAAGUGCGGGGCUCAACCCCGGCGAGCCGUUGAAACUGGCAGACUUGAGUUGGCGAGAGGUACGCGGAAUGCGCGGUGUAGCGGUGAAAUGCAUAGAUAUUGCGCAGAACUCCGAUUGCGAAGGCAGCGUACCGGCGGCAGACUGACGCUGAGGCACGAAAGCGUGGGGAUCGAACAGGAUUAGAUACCCGGGUAGUC
This 459-nucleotide ribosomal RNA is filed under the name uncultured bacterium. Its description in RNAcentral is "partial 16S ribosomal RNA". It matches the Rfam family "Bacterial small subunit ribosomal RNA", at positions 338 to 795 of the family's 1533-position model. The record is from RNAcentral.